RNAcentral lists this ribosomal RNA (253 nucleotides) under uncultured bacterium. RNAcentral's name for it is "partial 16S ribosomal RNA". It matches the Rfam family "Bacterial small subunit ribosomal RNA", at positions 524 to 776 of the family's 1533-position model. The record is from RNAcentral.
UACGUAGGGGGCGAGCGUUGUCCGGAUUUAUUGGGCGUAAAGAGCUCGUAGGCGGCUGUUCGAGUCGGGUGUGAAAUCCUGAGGCUUAACCUUGGGUCUGCAUUCGAUACUGGGCGGCUUGAGUCUGGUAGGGGGAUCUGGAAUUCCUGGUGUAGCGGUGAAAUGCGCAGAUAUCAGGAAGAACACCAGCGGCGAAGGCGGCACUCUGGGCCGGUACUGACGCUGAGGAGCGAAAGCGUGGGUAGCAAACAGG